UGAGUAGCUCUGGUUGUUAUCCUUCCUU
This 28-nucleotide non-coding RNA is filed under the name Mus musculus (house mouse). The record is from RNAcentral. Lineage: Eukaryota; Metazoa; Chordata; Mammalia; Rodentia; Muridae.